UACAGAGGGGGCAAGCGUUAUUCGGAAUUAUUGGGCGUAAAGGGCGCGUAGGCGGCUUGGCAAGUGGAUGGUGAAAUCCCUCGGCUUAACCGAGGAACUGCCAUCCAGACUGCUUUGCUUGAGGCCGGGAGAGGUGAGUGGAAUUCCCAGUGUAGCGGUGAAAUGCGUAGAUAUUGGGAGGAACACCAGUGGCGAAGGCGGCUCACUGGACCGGUUCUGACGCUGAGGCGCGAAAGCUAGGGGAGCAAACGGG
RNAcentral lists this ribosomal RNA (253 nucleotides) under uncultured bacterium. Its description in RNAcentral is "partial 16S ribosomal RNA". It matches the Rfam family "Bacterial small subunit ribosomal RNA", at positions 524 to 776 of the family's 1533-position model. The record is from RNAcentral.